Molecule: unclassified non-coding RNA, 334 nt
Filed under: soil metagenome
Description: partial contains 5.8S ribosomal RNA, internal transcribed spacer 2, and large subunit ribosomal RNA
Rfam family: 5.8S ribosomal RNA (bases 1-120)
Source: RNAcentral
GAUGAAGAACGCAGUGAAAUGCGAUAAGUAAUGUGAAUUGCAGAAUCCAGUGAAUCAUCGAAUCUUUGAACGCACAUUGCGCCCGCCAGUAUUCUGGCGGGCAUGCCUGUCCGAGCGUCAUUUCAACCAUCAAGCCCCAGGCUUGUGUUGGGGACCUGCGUCCGACGCAGGCCCUGAAAACCAGUGGCGGGCUCGCUGUCCACACCGAGCGUAGUAACUAACCUCGCUACGGGAGCGGCGCGGGCGCCUGCCGUAAAACCCCCAAUUUUCACAAGGUUGACCUCGGAUCAGGUAGGAAUACCCGCUGAACUUAAGCAUAUCAAUAAGCGGAGGA